Long non-coding RNA from Mesocricetus auratus (golden hamster), 525 nucleotides. RefSeq lists it as uncharacterized. Lineage: Eukaryota; Metazoa; Chordata; Mammalia; Rodentia; Cricetidae. The transcript is spliced from 4 exons. The record is from RefSeq and is a predicted model, not a curated record.
CUACAAUAGCAAGGAACUAGGAAGUCAAUUCCAUCUCAGAGUCUCCAGGAAACACAGCCCAGUCAACAGUUUAGCUUGGGCCUUGUAAGACCAUAAGAGAAUUCAGAAGAGUCAGUCUGACAACUGGCUGAAGAAUCUGCUUCAGGGAGUCAGCAGCAGAAGCAGAGAGACAAGUUUCAUUUACUCAGGUCCCAAGUAGCUGGUGUUCAGAGCAAGACAGUGAGUGAUUUGACUAUGGUCACACAAUCUGUCUGAGAUGGUCUAAGAAUGGUCAUUGGACUAUUUUGGUGCAUCUGUCCUGGAACCUCCCAUGAAACAUAUCUGGAUCUGGAAACAUACCUUGCUAUGCACGAGCCUCACUCCUUGCCAGGACUGGUUCCUCUGGCCUCUUGGGAACUGGUGAGGUAAGUUCUGACUUGCCCAAGAUCCCCCCUCAGGGAGGAGCUCUCUCCUUCUUGUUGCCUGGGAUGCAGAGGUAGCUUUGAGUCAUGUUGUCAUUUUGGACCGUGUGUACUAGGAUGACAG